This 237-nucleotide long non-coding RNA is filed under the name Elaeis guineensis (African oil palm). RNAcentral describes it as "long non-coding RNA (EGUI_LNC055644)". The record is from RNAcentral. Lineage: Eukaryota; Viridiplantae; Streptophyta; Magnoliopsida; Arecales; Arecaceae.
AAUUCAGUGCAGGGGUAAAAUGAUAAUUUUAAAACUUUUUCAAAAUUAUGAUUUUACAGUAAAAAAAUAUUAAUUAAUCUAAUUAAUUAACAUAAAUUUAUCCAACACUAGGAUCUAAAUAUGAUAUAUAGCAUGCAUUCAUUUAAAUUUGAAAUUCAAAUUCGAACAGUAAACACUUUACUGUAAUGUGUUCAGAACACAAUACCUUUGUGCGGAUAGUAGAUCGCUGCAAUCUGA